RNAcentral lists this ribosomal RNA (253 nucleotides) under uncultured bacterium. RNAcentral describes it as "partial 16S ribosomal RNA". It matches the Rfam family "Bacterial small subunit ribosomal RNA", at positions 524 to 776 of the family's 1533-position model. The record is from RNAcentral.
UACAGAGGGUGCGAGCGUUAAUCGGAUUUACUGGGCGUAAAGCGUGCGUAGGUGGCUUGAUAAGUCAGAUGUGAAAUCCCCGAGCUCAACUUGGGAACUGCAUUUGAUACUGUCUGGCUAGAGUGUGGUAGAGGGUAAUGGAAUGCCAGGUGUAGCGGUGAAAUGCGUAGAUAUCUGGUGGAACAUCAGUGGCGAAGGCGAUUACCUGGACCAACACUGACACUGAGGCACGAAAGCGUGGGUAGCAAACAGG